UUUCAUGUCAUUUUUUUCCAUUUUUAUUUCCUACUUCUCUCCCAUUUUUUCCAUCUCUCACAAGAGUUCCUCACACUCUUCUUCACUUUUCAUUAUAUAUAGUUCCAAUAUUCCAUUCCCUACCACACAUAACUUAACUUCUCAACUAGUUUCUAGGUUUUUUCACCAUGCAACACUGUUUCAUACAACAAAUGGUCACAAUGUUCUUCUUUAUCAUGGUUCUUCAAGGUGAGGGUUACAAUAUUCAAGAACAAAGGAAAAUGUGGUGAAUGUCAUGGCGAUAUCUCUCCUGAGCUUAUUCUUCUUACGUUUGUUUUUUGUUUUCUUUUAUUUUAUAGAUAAUUUACAAAUUUUCUUGACCUUGCAAGUCCGAGAUCUUUAAUAAUUUUGGUCAAGAUUAUUUGUAAUAAAUUUAGGUGAUAAUUUUAUACAUUAGAGUUUUUUUAAUACAUCUCAUGUAUUAUUCUCUCUCACUUGAGUUUCAUAGCUUAUUUAAGGGUUUCUUUUAGCAUAUAAGUUAUUUUAAUUUGUAACAUCUUUUGUACAACAAGAUGUAUUAAUUAUUCCUCCUAAGUUUGAAGGAGUUAUUGUAAGGAAUUUGUCAUAAUAAAAAAAGUUAUUUAA
RNAcentral lists this long non-coding RNA (624 nucleotides) under Trifolium pratense (red clover). RNAcentral describes it as "long non-coding RNA (TPRA_LNC002030)". The record is from RNAcentral. Lineage: Eukaryota; Viridiplantae; Streptophyta; Magnoliopsida; Fabales; Fabaceae.